CUCCCAGGUGACACAGAUGCUGCUAGUCCAUGAAUCCUAUUCCAGUGGCCAAGAAUAAAAGAGUUACUGCAGCAUGCUAAGCUUCCCUGUCCAUCACCAACUCCCGGAGCUUGCUCAAACUCAUGUCGUCUUUCUGCUACAGUCAUCUCUCUGCUACAUGCUACAAACUCAUGUCCUCUUUCUGCUUCAGUCCUGCAAACAAGCAGAGGAGUGGGUCCCAAGGAGGAGAAGGGUCAGAAUGAGGAACAUUCAUGGGGUCUGAACUGACCAAGUGGGUUGCGGGAGGGAGAGGGUCCACAGGAGAACUGAGGUGGCCACUAGGAAGAGGAAGGUGCAUGUGACCUAGAAGAGAAGGGGCCCCAUAAAGCCAGAUUUGCCUCCAACACUGCAUAGUCUCAGACUCAAGUACUUGGCAACACAACCUAUUCCCAAUCUUCUGCAACUGAUCUUGAGGUCAUGACUGCCAGUUUAAGACAUGUAAACAAGGCCAAGGAAAUUGACCUUUCUUCCAGUAAUUAAGACACUCAGUCGCUCCUACAUACUUGUGACACUCAAGGACACCCACUCUCAAGGAAUCAGUGAGGCAGCUGGAAGAUCUUUGAGUCUGGCUGAUGCCCAGGCUGGAUUUGCCUCUGUGCAUAGUGGCCAAGCAUCUAAGAGCUGGAACCAUCUCUAAGAGCAGGAGACAGACUCGGCACCUGAUAGGCUGUUAAGCUGUGAAGAGCUUGCUCCAGCCACCUCCUUCUCAAGAAGUAUUCUUUUAAUCACCUUUCUCGAAAAGGAAGGGAGCUGAAGAGAAGCAUACAGAUCACAUGGGCUAUUGAGGUGGAGAGGAAAGGCAUUCUAGAUUCAAACGAUAGCUCUACAUCUAUAAACCACAUGAUUCACUGAAUAACAACUGACACGUGGACACUCAAUUCAACUAAAACGGUGGGAGAGAAAUUGUCCAGGGAAGCCUGUAGGAGCAUGGCCUGACUGAGCAGGGCCAUCCAAGCCUGCCACAGAGAGAUGAGUGCAGGGUCACUGGUUCUUGCUGACUCAUGGCAAAUGGACAGAGUCUCUUCUCAGGGCCCCCGGGAUGCAGGUUGCCCACCACAACUCCAGAAUGAAGUCCAUUUUUGAAGGACUGAAAAGAGAAGGAUAAGAG
Bos taurus (domestic cattle) is the source of this 1147-nucleotide long non-coding RNA. The record is from Ensembl. Lineage: Eukaryota; Metazoa; Chordata; Mammalia; Artiodactyla; Bovidae.